RNAcentral lists this ribosomal RNA (443 nucleotides) under uncultured bacterium. RNAcentral's name for it is "partial 16S ribosomal RNA". It matches the Rfam family "Bacterial small subunit ribosomal RNA", at positions 338 to 795 of the family's 1533-position model. The record is from RNAcentral.
CCUACGGGAGGCAGCAGUGGGGAAUAUUGGGCAAUGGGCGCAAGCCUGACCCAGCAACGCCGCGUGAAGGAAGAAGGCUUUCGGGUUGUAAACUUCUUUUCUCAGGGACGAAGAAAGUGACGGUACCUGAGGAAUAAGCCACGGCUAACUACGUGCCAGCAGCCGCUGUAAUACGUAGGUGGCAAGCGUUAUCCGGAUUUACUGGGUGUAAAGGGAGUGUAGGCGGGAAAGCAAGUCAGAUGUGAAAACCAUGGGCUCAACCUGUGGCCUGCAUUUGAAACUGUUUUUCUUGAGUACUGGAGAGGCAGACGGAAUUCGUAGUGUAGCGGUGAAAUGCGUAGAUAUUAGGAGGAACACCAGUGGCGAAGGCGGUCUGCUGGACAGCAACUGACGCUGAGGCGCGAAAGCGUGGGGAGCAAACAGGAUUAGAUACCCGUGUAGUC